RNAcentral lists this long non-coding RNA (1061 nucleotides) under Homo sapiens (human). RNAcentral's name for it is "HSALNT0274954". The record is from RNAcentral. Lineage: Eukaryota; Metazoa; Chordata; Mammalia; Primates; Hominidae.
GUUGGAAGCUGCAUGGUCUUUUAUGACUUAGUCUCAGAUGACAGGCUGUGUCACUUUCUUCUCAGCCAGCUCAAGUCUGCUGAGAUUUCCACGGGUAGGCAACAUAGACCAUUGAUAAAAGGAAAAAAGUUCUAAAAAAUUUGUGGAGGCUAUUUUAUAAAAACCACCAAAACAUGCUGACUGUUGGCAGUACUUGCUGAACUAGGGAGUAUUCUGGAACUAUGUGAGGACAUCUUCAUUGUAAGAAGUUGGAUCAAGACAUCCUAGGUAUUGAUUUUAAUCUUAUUAAAUGAAAUAACCACGUGUCAACCUGGGGGAAAGACUGAGUGAAGACCAUCAUGAUCAUCUCAAAACUCAAAGGAAUUUGCAUCCAGAAUGGCUUAACUUUGAAAAUAGGUACCUGAGCAAAGAAAAGGGUUAAUUCAUUUGGUUGUUAUAGAUUUAGAAGAAAGCUAUGGAUUUAGAAGAAAACUCACUUGACUACCUAAAUAGCUUUAUGUCAUUUCCAGCUCUCAUAUCUCUCUACUUUGGAAGUAGAUUUUGAAACCCAGAUUCUAUUUUGAGGCUUCUCUUGCCAAAGGAAUUGUCAUGACUCUUCUCUUUACUUCACAGGACCCAACUUUCACACCAUUCUAAUCUUUUCUAAUUCAACUUCCUAUGCUUUGUUUUCAUCAAGGCAGUUAAUCAAAUAAUAACCAUAAUCAUAGUAAUAGUAAUAAUUAUGACUAUAAUUAAGUUGUAUUUAAAUACUAAGUGCUUUGCCUGUAUACAUUCAUUUUAUCCUCACAACUAUAGGAGGUAGCAACUAGUGUCAUACUGAGGCAUAGAAAGGUGAAGUAAGUCACCCAAUUUUAAGUGGCAGAGGAAAUUUUCAUGCCCACAUGGUGUGGCUCAAAGCCUGCACACUGGAACACUAUACCAGAUAGCAUGGAUUACUAGGCAGGAUUAAAGAGAAGUGGCAUAAUUGUAUCACAGUUGGUAUACUAAAGGAAAAUUUGGCCUCUCAUUCCAAGAGAGAUUUUAAUACAAUGCAAAGCAUCAAAAAUAACUUGAAAAUAUGA